CCGGCACGGGUGAGUAACACGUAUCCAACCUGCCGUCUACUCUUGGACAGCCUUCUGAAAGGAAGGUUAAUACAAGAUGGCAUCAUGAGUCCGCAUGUUCACAUGAUUAAAGGUAUUCCGGUAGACGAUGGGGAUGCGUUCCAUUAGAUAGUAGGCGGGGUAACGGCCCACCUAGUCUUCGAUGGAUAGGGGUUCUGAGAGGAAGGUCCCCCACAUUGGAACUGAGACACGGUCCAA
Molecule: ribosomal RNA, 237 nt
Filed under: uncultured bacterium
Lineage: Bacteria
Description: partial 16S ribosomal RNA
Rfam family: Bacterial small subunit ribosomal RNA
Source: RNAcentral